This 495-nucleotide ribosomal RNA is filed under the name uncultured bacterium. RNAcentral's name for it is "partial 16S ribosomal RNA". It matches the Rfam family "Bacterial small subunit ribosomal RNA", at positions 28 to 507 of the family's 1533-position model. The record is from RNAcentral.
GAUGAACGCUGGCGGCGUGCCUAAUACAUGCAAGUAGAACGCUGAAGGAGGAGCUUGCUCUUCUGGAUGAGUUGCGAACGGGUGAGUAACGCGUAGGUAACCUGCCUGGUAGCGGGGGAUAACUAUUGGAAACGAUAGCUAAUACCGCAUGACAACAGUUAUUGCAUGAUAACUGUUUAAAAGGGGCUACUGCUCCACUACCAGAUGGACCUGCGUUGUAUUAGCUAGUUGGUGAGGUAACGGCUCACCAAGGCGACGAUACAUAGCCGACCUGAGAGGGUGAUCGGCCACACUGGGACUGAGACACGGCCCAGACUCCUACGGGAGGCAGCAGUAGGGAAUCUUCGGCAAUGGACGGAAGUCUGACCGAGCAACGCCGCGUGAGUGAAGAAGGGUUUCGGAUCGUAAAGCUCUGUUGUAAGAGAAGAACGAGUGUGAGAGUGGAAAGUUCACACUGUGACGGUAUCUUACCAGAAAGGGACGGCUAACUACGUG